Molecule: ribosomal RNA, 442 nt
Filed under: uncultured bacterium
Lineage: Bacteria
Description: partial 16S ribosomal RNA
Rfam family: Bacterial small subunit ribosomal RNA
Source: RNAcentral
CCUACGGGUGGCAGCAGUGGGGAAUAUUGCACAAUGGGGGAAACCCUGAUGCAGCGACGCCGCGUGAGUGAAGAAGUAUUUCGGGUUGUAAACUUCUUUUGACAGGGAAGAGUAGAAGACGGUACCUGUCGAAUAAGCCACGGCUAACUACGUGCCAGCAGCCGCGGUAAUACGUAGGUGGCAAGCGUUGUCCGGAUUUACGGGGUGUAAAGGGCGUGUAGCCGGGUUGACAAGUCAGAUGUGAAAUCCUGCGGCUUAACCGCAGAACUGCAUUGGAAACUGUGGAUCUUGAGUACUGGAGAGGCAGACGGAAUUCCUAGUGUAGCGGUGAAAUGCGUAGAUAUUAGGAGGAACACCAGUGGCGAAGGCGGUCUGCUGGACAGCAACUGACGGUGAGGCGCGAAAGCGUGGGGAGCAAACAGGAUUAGAUACCCCAGUAGUC